UUAGUACUUCCUCCGUCCAAAAAUACUUGUCAUCAAAAUGGACAAAAAAUGAUGUAUCUACAACUAAAAUACAUCUAAAUACAUCCCCUUUUAUUCAUUUUGAUGAAAAAUAUUUUCGGACGGAGGGAGUAUAAA
Triticum aestivum (bread wheat) is the source of this 135-nucleotide non-coding RNA. The record is from Rfam. Lineage: Eukaryota; Viridiplantae; Streptophyta; Magnoliopsida; Poales; Poaceae.